ACGAACGCUGGCGGCGUGCUUCACACCUGCCAGUCGAACGGAAAGGCCUGCUUUCCCUUGUGGAUUGCGGGUACUCGAGUGGCGAACGGGUGAGUAACACGUGAGUGAUCUGCCCCCAACUUGGGUAUAAGCCUGGGAAACUGGGUCUAAUUCCCGAUAGGACUGCAGGGUGGUGCCUGUGGUGGAAAACGAUUUUCUAGUGGUUGGGGAUGAGCUCGCGGCCUAUCAGCUUGUUGGUGGGGUAAUGGCCUACCAAGGCGGCGACGGGUAGCCGGCCUGAGAGGGUGGACGGCCACAUUGGGACUGAGAUACGGCCCAGACUCCUACGGGAGGCAGCAGUGGGGAAUAUUGCACAAUGGGCGGAAGCCUGAUGCAGCGACGCCGCGUGGGGGAUGACGGCCUUCGGGUUGUAAACUCCUUUCGACCGCGAGGAAGCCACCUGGUUGGAAGGGUGGUGACGGUAGUGGUAGAAGAAGCACCGGCUAACUACGUG
This 493-nucleotide ribosomal RNA is filed under the name uncultured bacterium. Its description in RNAcentral is "partial 16S ribosomal RNA". It matches the Rfam family "Bacterial small subunit ribosomal RNA", at positions 29 to 507 of the family's 1533-position model. The record is from RNAcentral.